Molecule: ribosomal RNA, 253 nt
Filed under: uncultured bacterium
Lineage: Bacteria
Description: partial 16S ribosomal RNA
Rfam family: Bacterial small subunit ribosomal RNA
Source: RNAcentral
UACGGGGGGGGCAAGCGUUGUUCGGAAUUACUGGGCGUAAAGGGCUCGUAGGUUGCCAACUAAGUCAGACGUGAAAUCCCUCGGCUUAACCGGGGAACUGCGUCUGAUACUGGAUGGCUUGAGUUUGGGAGAGGGAUGCGGAAUUCCAGGUGUAGCGGUGAAAUGCGUAGAUAUCCGGAGGAACACCGGUGGCGAAGGCGGCUUCCUGGACCGACACUGACGCUGAGGCGCGAAAGCUAGGGGAGCAAACGGG